Molecule: small nuclear RNA, 166 nt
Filed under: Suricata suricatta (meerkat)
Lineage: Eukaryota; Metazoa; Chordata; Mammalia; Carnivora; Herpestidae
Description: U4 spliceosomal RNA (ENSSSUG00005016575.1)
Rfam family: U4 spliceosomal RNA
About the family: U4 small nuclear RNA (U4 snRNA) is a component of the major U2-dependent spliceosome. The structure of U4 snRNA from yeast and human has been reported.
Source: Rfam by way of RNAcentral
AACUUUGCGCAGUGGCAGUAUCAUAGCCAAUGAGGUUUAUCCGAGGCGCGAUUAUUACUAAUAGAAUAAAAUUCCCUAAGAACUCUUCCACCAUCCUUCCAUUAUUGUUCACUAAAACUUCAUGCCUUUUGCAUCUGGGAGGGAAGUUUCUUACAGUCACAAGACA